GACAGCAGAGUGACAGCAGGAACAUCAUCGGCAUGGCCACCAGGGGGCGCAGUGCUGCUGUGGGGUAAAGGGAUAUCAUCAGCAUGGCCAGCAGGGGGCGCAGUGCUUCUGUGGGGACAGAAAAGGGACAUUGGGGACAUCAGAGUGACAGCAGAGUGACAGCAGAGUGACAGCAGGAACAUCAUCGGCAUGGCCACCAGGGGGCGCAGUGCUGCUGUGGGACACAAAGGGACAUUGGGGACAUCAAUGGGGACAUUGGGGACAUUGGGAUAUCAUCAGCAUGGCCACCAGGGGGCGCAGUGCUUCUGUGGGGACACAAGGGGACAUUGGGGACAUCAGGGUGACAGCAGAGUGACAGCAGGAACAUCAUCAGCAUGGCCAGCAGGGGGCGCAGUGCUGCUGUGGGGACACAAAGGGACAGAAAAGGGACAUUGGGGACAUCAGAGUGACAGCAGAGUGACAGCAGAGUGACAGCAGAGUGACAGCAGAGUGACAGCAGGAACAUCAUCGGCAUGGCCACCAGGGGGCGCAGUGCUUCUGUGGGGACACAAGGGGACAUUGGGGACAUCACUGGGGACAUUGGGAACAUCAGAGUGACAUUGAGGACAUCAUUGGGAUAUCCCAGCACGGGGGCACAGUGCUUCUGUGGGACACAAGGGGACAUUGGGGACAUCAGGGUGACAGCAGAGUGACAGCAGGAACAUCAUCGCCAUGGCCAACAGGGGGCGAAGUGCUGCUGUGGGGUAGAGGGAUAUCAUCAGCAUGGCCAGCAGGGGGCGCAGUGCUGCUGUGGGGACACAAGGGGACAGCAAAGGGACAUUGGAGUGACAUUGGGGACAUCAGAGUGACAGCAGAGUGACAGCAGGAACAUCAUCGGCAUGGCCACCAGGGGGCGCAGUGCUGCUGUGGGGACACAAAGGGACAUUGGGGACAUCAGAGUGACAUUGAGGACAUCAUUGGGAUAUCCCAGCACGGGGGCACAGUGCUUCUGUGGGGACACAAAGGGACAUUAGAGUGACAUUGGGGACAUCAGAGUGACAUUGGGGACAUCAUUGGGGACACCAUCGGGGCAUUGGGGACACCAUCAGC
Molecule: long non-coding RNA, 1089 nt
Filed under: Zonotrichia albicollis (white-throated sparrow)
Lineage: Eukaryota; Metazoa; Chordata; Aves; Passeriformes; Passerellidae
Description: lncRNA (ENSZALG00000002123.1)
Source: RNAcentral